UACGGGAGGCAGCAGUGAGGAAUAUUGGUCAAUGGGCGAGAGCCUGAACCAGCCAAGUAGCGUGCAGGAUGACGGCCCUAUGGGUUGUAAACUGCUUUUAUACAGGGAUAAAGUGCGCCACGUGUGGCGUUUUGUAGGUACUGUAUGAAUAAGGACCGGCUAAUUCCGUGCCAGCAGCCGCGGUAAU
Molecule: ribosomal RNA, 187 nt
Filed under: uncultured rumen bacterium
Lineage: Bacteria
Description: partial 16S ribosomal RNA
Rfam family: Bacterial small subunit ribosomal RNA
Source: RNAcentral